RNAcentral lists this ribosomal RNA (1346 nucleotides) under uncultured bacterium. Its description in RNAcentral is "bacterial SSU rRNA". It matches the Rfam family "Bacterial small subunit ribosomal RNA", at positions 28 to 1381 of the family's 1533-position model. The record is from RNAcentral.
GACGAACGCUGGCGGCGUGCUUAACACAUGCAAGUCGAACGGAAAGGCCCUGCUUUUGUGGGGUGCUCGAGUGGCGAACGGGUGAGUAACACGUGAGUAACCUGCCCUUGACUUUGGGAUAACUUCAGGAAACUGGGGCUAAUACCGGAUAGGAGCUCCUGCUGCAUGGUGGGGGUUGGAAAGUUUCGGCGGUUGGGGAUGGACUCGCGGCUUAUCAGCUUGUUGGUGGGGUAGUGGCUUACCAAGGCUUUGACGGGUAGCCGGCCUGAGAGGGUGACCGGCCACAUUGGGACUGAGAUACGGCCCAGACUCCUACGGGAGGCAGCAGUGGGGAAUAUUGCACAAUGGGCGGAAGCCUGAUGCAGCAACGCCGCGUGCGGGAUGACGGCCUUCGGGUUGUAAACCGCUUUCGCCUGUGACGAAGCGUGAGUGACGGUAAUGGGUAAAGAAGCACCGGCUAACUACGUGCCAGCAGCCGCGGUGAUACGUAGGGUGCGAGCGUUGUCCGGAUUUAUUGGGCGUAAAGGGCUCGUAGGUGGUUGAUCGCGUCGGAAGUGUAAUCUUGGGGCUUAACCCUGAGCGUGCUUUCGAUACGGGUUGACUUGAGGAAGGUAGGGGAGAAUGGAAUUCCUGGUGGAGCGGUGGAAUGCGCAGAUAUCAGGAGGAACACCAGUGGCGAAGGCGGUUCUCUGGGCCUUUCCUGACGCUGAGGAGCGAAAGCGUGGGGAGCGAACAGGCUUAGAUACCCUGGUAGUCCACGCUGUAAACGGUGGGUACUAGGUGUGGGGUCCAUUCCACGGGUUCCGUGCCGUAGCUAACGCUUUAAGUACCCCGCCUGGGGAGUACGGCCGCAAGGCUAAAACUCAAAGGAAUUGACGGGGCCCCGCACAAGCGGCGGAGCAUGCGGAUUAAUUCGAUGCAACGCGUAGAACCUUACCUGGGUUUGACAUGGAUCGGGAGCGCUCAGAGAUGGGUGUGCCUCUUUUGGGGUCGGUUCACAGGUGGUGCAUGGCUGUCGUCAGCUCGUGUCGUGAGAUGUUGGGUUAAGUCCCGCAACGAGCGCAACCCUUGUUCACUGUUGCCAGCACGUUAUGGUGGGGACUCAGUGGAGACCGCCGGGGUCAACUCGGAGGAAGGUGGGGAUGGCGUCAAGUCAUCAUGCCCCUUAUGUCCAGGGCUUCACGCAUGCUACAAUGGCUGGUACAGAGAGUGGCGAGCCUGUGAGGGUGAGCGAAUCUCGGAAAGCCGGUCUCAGUUCGGAUUGGGGUCUGCAACUCGACCUCAUGAAGUCGGAGUCGCUAGUAAUCGCAGAUCAGCAACGCUGCGGUGAAUACGUUCCCGGGGCU